UUGAUUCAUUUAGAAGCUUUACUCAGAUGUUACUCGGUAAAAACAAGAGUUAAAUGGGCCACCGGCGGGCCUGCUGUCCUCCCCCGGCGGUUUUACGACCGGGAGGGGGCCCCCCCCCACAGGUGGGAGGGGCAGCCAGCGCCGAGGCAACGAUGUAGGUAUAAGUUCACAAAGGGUUUCUGGGUGCGCCUUGCGGCGCUUCCAGCAAUGAUCCCUCCGCUGGUUCACCAACGGAGA
RNAcentral lists this unclassified non-coding RNA (237 nucleotides) under uncultured fungus. RNAcentral describes it as "sequence contains ITS1". Lineage: Eukaryota; Fungi. The record is from RNAcentral.